AAGACCUUGUGGGAAUUUUUUGUCUGGCUUUGCUCUCUGAAGUGGUCUGUUGAUCUGAGUGCAUGGUAUUUCUGUACAUAGCUCUUUUAUGUUCUGAUGCAUAGUGUACAAGUUAACUUUGCAUUCAGGACGUGUUUUUUCUAGGCACAACCUGGGAUAUAGAAAUCCUUUGGGCUACAUGCUGGAAGUGAGGCCCAGUUUCUGUGGCACGCUGCCACAUCUCUUUUGAUUAGGAAGCUAACGGCUGGAUAACUUCUGAAAACAGGAAGGACAAUCUGCUCUUCUAUCCAGAGCAGCUGGGACCCAGGAUGUGCAAGGAAUGAGCAUCCCCAGUCUUUGUACCAGUUUCUUCUUCACAGCAGAUCUUGUGUCACAGUAGAUGAAUGCCAGGACCAACAAGCCAGCAUCAAGGCUGCAAUUUGGCUUCAACAGAAAAGUGAAAGAAUCUGAAUAAACUGAAACUCACAUUUCCAUCAUUAAGAACCAUACCUAUGACUGCCAUAGCAAAUAAAGGAAAUGCAUAAUAUAGUACA
Molecule: long non-coding RNA, 533 nt
Filed under: Phasianus colchicus (ring-necked pheasant)
Lineage: Eukaryota; Metazoa; Chordata; Aves; Galliformes; Phasianidae
Description: lncRNA (ENSPCLG00000016018.1)
Source: RNAcentral